CUGCUCAUUUAGGCAGCACAUAUACUAAAAUUGCAAUGACACAGAGAUUAGCAUGGCUCUGAGCAAGGAUGACAUGCAAAUUCGUGAAGCUUUCCAUGUUUUU
RNAcentral lists this small nuclear RNA (103 nucleotides) under Nannospalax galili (Upper Galilee mountains blind mole rat). The record is from RNAcentral. Lineage: Eukaryota; Metazoa; Chordata; Mammalia; Rodentia; Spalacidae.